ACGCACAUUGCGCCCGCUAGUAUUCUAGCGGGCAUGCCUGUUCGAGCGUCAUUUCAACCCUCAAGCCCUGCUUGGUGUUGGGGUCCUACGGCUGCCGUAGGCCCUUAAAACUAGUGGCGGGCUCGCUAUAACUCCGAGCGUAGUAGUAAAAUAUCUCGCUAGGGAGGUGUCGCGGGUUCCGGCCGUGAAAGCCCCAUCUUUUACACAAGGUUGACCUCGGAUCAGGUAGGAAUACCCGCUGAACUUAAGCAUAUCAAUAAGCGGAGGAAAAGAAACCAACAGGGAUUGCCCCAGUAACGGCGAGUGAAGCGGCAACAGCUCAAAUUUGAAAUCUGGCUUCGGCCCGAGUUGUAAUUUGUAGAGGAUGCUUUUGGUGAGGUGCCUUGUGAGUUCCCUGGAACGGGACGCCAGAGAGGGUGAGAGCCCCGUAUACUUGGACACCGAGCCUCUGUAAAGCUCCUUCGACGAGUCGAGUAGUUUGGGAAUGCUGCUCUAAAUGGGAGGUAUAUCUCUUCUAAAGCUAAAUAUUGGCCAGAGACCGAUAGCGCACAAGUAGAGUGAUCGAAAGAUGAAAAGCACUUUGAAAAGAGGGUUAAAUAGUACGUGAAAUUGUUGAAAGGGAAGCGCUUGUGACCAGACUUGUGCCGGGCUGAUCAUCCAGUGUUCUCACUGGUGCACUCUGCCCGGCUCAGGCCAGCGUCGGUUCU
This 707-nucleotide ribosomal RNA is filed under the name Sordariomycetes sp. genotype 156. RNAcentral's name for it is "eukaryotic LSU rRNA". The stretch from base 212 to 707 matches the Rfam family "Eukaryotic large subunit ribosomal RNA", at positions 1 to 509 of the family's 3401-position model. The record is from RNAcentral. Lineage: Eukaryota; Fungi; Ascomycota; Sordariomycetes.